CCUACGGGAGGCAGCAGUGAGGAAUAUUGGUCAAUGGACGAGAGUCUGAACCAGCCAAGUAGCGUGAAGGAUGACUGCCCUAUGGGUUGUAAACUUCUUUUAUAUGGGAAUAAAAUGUUCCACGUGUGGGAUUUUGUAUGUACCAUAUGAAUAAGGAUCGGCUAACUCCGUGCCAGCAGCCGCGGUAAUACGGAGGAUCCGAGCGUUAUCCGGAUUUAUUGGGUUUAAAGGGAGCGUAGGUGGAUUGUUAAGCCAGUUGUGAAAGUUUGCGGCUCAACCGUAAAAUUGCAGUUGAAACUGGCAGUCUUGAGUACAGUAGAGGUGGGCGGAAUGCGUGGUGUAGCGGUGAAAUGCUUAGAUAUCACGAAGAACUCCGAUUGCGAAGGCAGUUCACUGGACUGCAACUGACACUGAGGCUCGAAAGUGUGGGUAUCAAACAGGAUUAGAUACCCUUGUAGUC
RNAcentral lists this ribosomal RNA (460 nucleotides) under uncultured bacterium. RNAcentral describes it as "partial 16S ribosomal RNA". It matches the Rfam family "Bacterial small subunit ribosomal RNA", at positions 338 to 795 of the family's 1533-position model. The record is from RNAcentral.